AAUGAACGCUGGCGGCAGGCUUAACACAUGCAAGUCGAGCGAGAAAGCACUUUCGGGUGUGAGUAGAGCGGCAAACGGGUGAGUAACACGUGGGAACGUACCUUGAAGUUUGGAAUAGCCCUGGGAAACUGGGAUUAAUGCCGAAUGUGAUCUACGGAUUAAAGAUUUAUCGCUUCAAGAUCGGCCCGCGUUAGAUUAGCUUGUUGGUGAGGUAACGGCUCACCAAGGCUACGAUCUAUAGCUGGUCUGAGAGGAUGAUCAGCCACACUGGGACUGAGAUACGGCCCAGACUCCUACGGGGAGGCAGCAGUGAGGAAUAUUGGACAAUGGAGGAAACUCUGAUCCAGCCAUGCCGCGUGAGUGAUGAAGGCCUUAGGGUUGUAAAACUCUUUUAGAUGGGAAGAUAAUGACGGUACCAUCAGAAAAAGCUCCGGCUAACUUCGUGCCAGCCGCCGCGGUAA
Molecule: ribosomal RNA, 461 nt
Filed under: uncultured bacterium
Lineage: Bacteria
Description: bacterial SSU rRNA
Rfam family: Bacterial small subunit ribosomal RNA
Source: RNAcentral